Molecule: unclassified non-coding RNA, 211 nt
Filed under: plant metagenome
Description: partial contains small subunit ribosomal RNA, internal transcribed spacer 1, and 5.8S ribosomal RNA
Source: RNAcentral
UUUCCGUAGGUGAACCUGCGGAAGGAUCAUUCAUAAUAAAGUGUUUUAUGGCACUUUUCAAAAAUCCAUAUCCACCUUGUGUGCAAUGUUAGAUCUCGUCAAUCUUGGCGAGAUUUUUAUACAUCAACUCAUUCUUUAACUAAUUUGUCUGAAAAAUAUUAUGAAUACCUAAUUCAAAAUACAACUUUCAACAACGGAUCUCUUGGCUCUC